GGUACCUUGCCCGAGCGGUUAGGGAUCGGUCUGCAAAACCGGGGACGGCGGUUCGAAUCCGCCAGGUACCUCCA
This 74-nucleotide transfer RNA is filed under the name Bacteroidales bacterium. RNAcentral's name for it is "tRNA-Cys". It matches the Rfam family "tRNA". From Rfam's summary of the family: Transfer RNA (tRNA) molecules are approximately 80 nucleotides in length. Lineage: Bacteria; Pseudomonadati; Bacteroidota; Bacteroidia; Bacteroidales. RNAcentral also lists the same sequence under 1 other name. The record is from RNAcentral.